AAAUUGAAGAGUUUGAUCAUGGCUCAGAUUGAACGCUGGCGGCAGGCCUAACACAUGCAAGUCGAACGGUAACAGGAAGCAGCUUGCUGCUUCGCUGACGAGUGGCGGACGGGUGAGUAAUGUCUGGGAAACUGCCUGAUGGAGGGGGAUAACUACUGGAAACGGUGGCUAAUACCGCAUAACGUCGCAAGACCAAAGAGGGGGACCUUCGGGCCUCUUGCCAUCAGAUGUGCCCAGAUGGGAUUAGCUAGUUGGUGAGGUAACGGCUCACCAAGGCGACGAUCCCUAGCUGGUCUGAGAGGAUGACCAGCCACACUGGAACUGAGACACGGUCCAGACUCCUACGGGAGGCAGCAGUGGGGAAUAUUGCACAAUGGGCGCAAGCCUGAUGCAGCCAUGCCGCGUGUAUGAAGAAGGCCUUCGGGUUGUAAAGUACUUUCAGCGGGGAGGAAGGUGUUGUGGUUAAUAACCGCAGCAAUUGACGUUACCCGCAGAAGAAGCACCGGCUAACUCCGUGCCAGCAGCCGCGGUAAUACGGAGGGUGCAAGCGUUAAUCGGAAUUACUGGGCGUAAAGCGCACGCAGGCGGUCUGUCAAGUCGGAUGUGAAAUCCCCGGGCUCAACCUGGGAACUGCAUUCGAAACUGGCGGGCUUGAGUCUUGUAGAGGGGGGUAGAAUUCCAGGUGUAGCGGUGAAAUGCGUAGAGAUCUGGAGGAAUACCGGUGGCGAAGGCGGCCCCCUGGACAAAGACUGACGCUCAGGUGCGAAAGCGUGGGGAGCAAACAGGAUUAGAUACCCUGGUAGUCCACGCCGUAAACGAUGUCUACUUGGAGGUUGUGCCCUUGAGGCGUGGCUUCCGGAGCUAACGCGUUAAGUAGACCGCCUGGGGAGUACGGCCGCAAGGUUAAAACUCAAAUGAAUUGACGGGGGCCCGCACAAGCGGUGGAGCAUGUGGUUUAAUUCGAUGCAACGCGAAGAACCUUACCUGGUCUUGACAUCCACAGAACUUUCCAGAGAUGGAUUGGUGCCUUCGGGAACUGUGAGACAGGUGCUGCAUGGCUGUCGUCAGCUCGUGUUGUGAAAUGUUGGGUUAAGUCCCGCAACGAGCGCAACCCUUAUCCUUUGUUGCCAGCGGUUAGGCCGGGAACUCAAAGGAGACUGCCAGUGAUAAACUGGAGGAAGGUGGGGAUGACGUCAAGUCAUCAUGGCCCUUACGACCAGGGCUACACACGUGCUACAAUGGCGCAUACAAAGAGAAGCGACCUCGCGAGAGCAAGCGGACCUCAUAAAGUGCGUCGUAGUCCGGAUUGGAGUCUGCAACUCGACUCCAUGAAGUCGGAAUCGCUAGUAAUCGUGGAUCAGAAUGCCACGGUGAAUACGUUCCCGGGCCUUGUACACACCGCCCGUCACACCAUGGGAGUGGGUUGCAAAAGAAGUAGGUAGCUUAACCUUCGGGAGGGCGCUUACCACUUUGUGAUUCAUGACUGGGGUGAAGUCGUAACAAGGUAACCGUAGGGGAACCUGCGGUUGGAUCACCUCCUUACCUUAAAGAAGC
RNAcentral lists this ribosomal RNA (1554 nucleotides) under Salmonella enterica. RNAcentral's name for it is "bacterial SSU rRNA". It matches the Rfam family "Bacterial small subunit ribosomal RNA". The record is from RNAcentral. Lineage: Bacteria; Pseudomonadati; Pseudomonadota; Gammaproteobacteria; Enterobacterales; Enterobacteriaceae.